GACAGGGGCCUCGAGCGUUAGGCGGAAUCACUGGGCUUAAAGCGUGUGUAGGCGGGCCCGUAAGUGUCUUGUGAAAUCCCACGGCUCAACCGUGGAACUGCUGGGCAUACUGCGGGUCUUGGGCCAACUAGGGGCAGCCGGAACAAGCGGUGGAGCGGUGAAAUGCGUAGAUAUCGCUUGGAACGCCGAAGGUGAAAACAGGCUGCUGGGGUUGCGCCGACGCUGAGACACGAAAGCCAGGGGAGCAAACGGG
Molecule: ribosomal RNA, 253 nt
Filed under: uncultured bacterium
Lineage: Bacteria
Description: partial 16S ribosomal RNA
Rfam family: Bacterial small subunit ribosomal RNA
Source: RNAcentral